Molecule: ribosomal RNA, 468 nt
Filed under: uncultured bacterium
Lineage: Bacteria
Description: partial 16S ribosomal RNA
Rfam family: Bacterial small subunit ribosomal RNA
Source: RNAcentral
GACGAACGCUGGCGGCGUGCUUAACACAUGCAAGUCGAACGGAAAGGCCCUGCUUUUGUGGGGUGCUCGAGUGGCGAACGGGUGCGUAACACGUGAGUAACCUGCCCUUCACUUUGGGAUAACUUCACGAAACUGGGGCUAAUCCCGGAUAGCAUCUCCCGCUGCAUGGUGGGCGUUGGAAAGUCUCGGCGGUUGGGGAUGGACUCGCGGCUUAUCAGCUUGUUGGUGGGGUAGUGGCUUACCAAGGCUUUGACGGGUAGCCGGCCUGAGAGGGUGACCGGCCACAUUGGGACUGAGAUACGGACCAGACUCCUACGGGAGGCAGCAGUGGGGAAUAUUGCACAAUGGGCGGAAGCCUGAUGCGGCAACGCCGCGUGCGGGAUGACGGCCUUUGGGUUGUAAACCGCUUUCGCCUGUGACGAAGCGUGAGUGACGGUAAUGGGUAAAGAAGCACCGGCUAACUACGUG